Molecule: small nucleolar RNA, 107 nt
Organism: Dioscorea cayenensis subsp. rotundata (Guinea yam)
Lineage: Eukaryota; Viridiplantae; Streptophyta; Magnoliopsida; Dioscoreales; Dioscoreaceae
Source: RefSeq, a predicted model, not a curated record
AACUCAUGUUGAGGACAUUUCUGUAGGAGCUCCUUGAACCUGUCCCUUAUCUCAAAAAGAGACUUUAAUUUCGUUUGCACAAAAGAAGAUAUCUCAUUCCUAAGCUU